Molecule: long non-coding RNA, 835 nt
Filed under: Corvus moneduloides (New Caledonian crow)
Lineage: Eukaryota; Metazoa; Chordata; Aves; Passeriformes; Corvidae
Description: lncRNA (ENSCMUG00000017365.1)
Source: RNAcentral
CUAGUUUAUACCAUAAAAACUAUCAUAUUGUCAUUAUGCUUAAUAUUAUUUGGCAUAUUCUAUUAUAUUUAGUAUCAGCCAAGUACGUGGUAUAGCACUGAAGAUAAAACCUGUUUGGAUCUCAUACUUCUGUUUAAUUCUGCCUGCUUUGAGGGGAUUGUAGUUUUCGUCAUUACCAAGCUGUUAAUAAUGAAGAAAUGCUCAUUAUUAAUAGCACAAUAUAAAAUAAAUGGCACUGAGUAUUAUGAGGGGGGGAAGGAAUGACACUGACAGCUUUUUCUUUAUUACCUGCAGAGGAGAAGAAAGUAAAGAGCACUAAAGUGGAAGCAAAAGUUAAAAAGGAAGUGAAGGAUGGAAAAGGAGAAGCAAAGAUGGCAGAGAAGGUCAAGCAGGCAGAGACAAAACCAACAGAAACUGGGCUAAUAAAGGCCAAAACGAAAGUUAAGGAGGAGAAAGCUCUUCAGACUGUAACUAAAUCGGACAAGAAAGAUCAAUAUGCAUUCUGUCGCUAUGUGAUUGACAUGUUUGCGCAAGGGGAUUUUUAUCCAGGUGCAGGACAUAAGGAAUUGGUACCACCUCGUCUUCUUCUGGAACACAGUCCAAGAAAGAAACCAGCAGCUAUUGAAGAAGAAAAGUCUACUGUGGUACCUAGAGAAGGGAAAAGUAAGUUUGGGUUUUUUAUUUUUCCUUCAUCUUCAUGUUAGUUUUAUGCAAGGGACAGGAGUAUAUUUGCUUCUUGGAUUUGAAAAUAUUCCUAUACCUUAAAUAUGUUUCAGUUAAAGAAAAGACUCUUGUUUAAGUGCUUAUGGUUCUAUCUUCUGUAAGAUAAUAAAAC